AAAAACAUGGGCUUGUAGAAUAAGGUUUGCCUAAUUCAGAGCAGGAAGGAUAAUGAAAAGACAAGAACCCUAUCUCUAUGUUCUAAUUCCACCUAUAUCACAACACAUCACCUCCUUCUCCACCUAUAUCACAACACAUCACCUCCUUCUCUGGGGAAAGGAAGAAUCACCCCACAGUAUAUAGUCCUCAUAACUUUGUAAGCUAGACUCCAAUUCCACCAAAUUGGAUAAGAAUCACCAA
Molecule: long non-coding RNA, 241 nt
Filed under: Manihot esculenta (cassava)
Lineage: Eukaryota; Viridiplantae; Streptophyta; Magnoliopsida; Malpighiales; Euphorbiaceae
Description: long non-coding RNA (MESC_LNC000107)
Source: RNAcentral